This 1465-nucleotide long non-coding RNA is filed under the name Felis catus (domestic cat). RNAcentral's name for it is "lncRNA (ENSFCAG00000053028.1)". The record is from RNAcentral. Lineage: Eukaryota; Metazoa; Chordata; Mammalia; Carnivora; Felidae.
AUCCAAAAUCUAUAAAGAACUCACCAAACUCCACACCCGAAAAACAAAUAAUCAAUCCAGUGAAGAAAUGGGCAGAAAACAUGAAUAUUCAACUGGUAAUAGCAGAACUCUGUGGGCGAGACGGGGAAGAGCAGGGGUUGGGGGCCUCGUCACCAGCCGCUGCCAUUGGCCGAGCUGCCGGAGAGGGGCGCUCGCAGUUGUCGCUGGGGUCUGGCCUUGGCCGCGGCGGUUGGAGCGGUGGAGCCGGCGCGCCAGAGCAACCAUGCAGCAGCGGGCGCGGCGGGCGCGGGGGGCCCGGGGACCUGCGGGGAUGCGUCUGAUGCUUUGCUUCCUGCUGUUGAGCAGCUGCCCUGGGGGCUGGGACGCCAUUAGUCCCCACGGCUGUCUCUUUGCCCGAAGACUCUGCUCUUACCUGGAAGUCUGUGCCAAGGAGGGACAGCCCCAGGUGGGCAUGCAGCCACCCAGGUCCUGGCAAGGAGUCGUCAAGCUGGUCUUCCGAUACUGGCAAGAUGUGUUCAGUGGCUCAUGCCUCAAGGACUGUUCUGGAAAGAUGAUGUCACUCAAGAUGUAAAGACCCAGAAGAUGGAGCACAUGCCCAGGCUCCACGCCUCAGAGACCUACAUGAGGGAUGGGUAGACAGCCUUUCCCACCAAAACCACCACACUGAGGUGUGUGAGGCCUGUGGUCUGUCCACACUGCACGUGUCUGGUAGACAGAGCAACUGGGAAGGGAAGGAGUGUCAGGGAUGCCAGUAGGAGCUGUCAGAAGUCCAGUGAGUAGAAUGAAGAGAGCGCCCAUAUGGUUUCAGCCAGAAGCAAUCCCAUGAUACCUUGGUGAUGUCCACAAAGGGAGGGAAUUGGGAUGCAUGGCUACUAUGUGGUAUCCCUGGCUUGGUCUUCAUCUUCUAGGGACAGGUGCAAAGGGAAACUCUAAUUGUUGUUCCCUAAGGUGAGAGUCCCUCGGGGAUUUUGAAAUUCUUCAUUUGGAUAUCAUCUCUUUUCCUCUGGGCCUUUUCACCAUUUUCUCUUCACCCUUGACUCCUGUUUUCCUUCCCCUCAGAGCCCAGUGACCAAGGUGAACAAGGAACAAUGCUUGAACUCUAGAAUGGUUUCGGAGGUCCUGAACCAAGCAAGAGAUGACCAACCACAGCAAGGCCCCACUGCAGGUGAGGGCCUGCCCUUGUCCAGGAACGCUGAGCCCACCAAGGGCCUGUUUACAGAGGGAGACAGGGUGAAGGAGGGGAUAGACAUUGGUUGAUAAGGAAUGAUUUCACUGAGACUGAUGGAGAACCUUCUGGAAGAGAGGGCCUGGAGGAUGGAAAAGAACAGAGCCAGCCCAAUCUUCACCCUGCCACUGCCCAGCCGUGACCUUGGACACAUUACCUAGGCUCUUCAAGUCCCUUCUUCCACAUCUGUAAAAUGGGAAUGGUAAUAAAGACGACCCUUCCGGUGUUGCUGUGUGGAUC